RNAcentral lists this ribosomal RNA (476 nucleotides) under uncultured organism. RNAcentral's name for it is "partial 16S ribosomal RNA". It matches the Rfam family "Bacterial small subunit ribosomal RNA", at positions 334 to 801 of the family's 1533-position model. The record is from RNAcentral.
CACUCCUACGGGAGGCAGCAGUGGGGAAUUUUGGACAAUGGGCGAAAGCCUGAUCCAGCAAUGCCGCGUGAGUGAAGAAGGCCUUCGGUUUGUAAAGCUCUUUUGUCAGGGAAGAAACGGUGAAAGCUAAUAUCUUUUGCUAAUGACGGUACCUGAAGAAUAAGCACCGGCUAACUACGUGCCAGCAGCCGCGGUAAUACGUAGGGUGCAAGCGUUAAUCGGAAUUACUGGGCGUAAAGCGUGCGCAGGCGGUUUUGUAAGUCUGAUGUGAAAUCCCCGGGCUCAACCUGGGAAUUGCAUUGGAGACUGCAAGGCUAGAAUCUGGCAGAGGGGGGUAGAAUUCCACGUGUAGCAGUGAAAUGCGUAGAUAUGUGGAGGAACACCGAUGGCGAAGGCAGCCCCCUGGGUCAAGAUUGACGCUCAUGCACGAAAGCGUGGGGAGCAAACAGGAUUAGAAACCCCGGUAGUCCCAUGAU